This 345-nucleotide ribosomal RNA is filed under the name uncultured bacterium. Its description in RNAcentral is "bacterial SSU rRNA". It matches the Rfam family "Bacterial small subunit ribosomal RNA", at positions 8 to 334 of the family's 1533-position model. The record is from RNAcentral.
AGAGUUCGAUCCUGGCUCAGGACGAACGCUGGCGGCGUGCUUAACUCAUGCAAGUCGAGCGGGGAUUUGGAAGGAAGUUCUUCGGAACGGAGGUUCAAAUUCCAGCGGCGGACGGGUGAGUAACGCGUGAACAAUCUGUCCCGGACAGGGGGAUAACAGAUGGAAACAUCUGCUAAUACCGCAUAAGACCACGGCCUCGCAUGGGGCUGAGGUAAAAGGAGCAAUCCGGUUCGGGGUGAGUUCGCGUCCGAUUAGCUAGUUGGCGAGGUAACGGCCCACCAAGGCGACGAUCGGUAGCCGACCUGAGAGGGUGAUCGGCCACAUUGGAACUGAGAGACGGUCCAA